AAAACAUCUUUUCUUGUUUUUAUUUGAAAUUUGACCUGCCCAAUGAUUUAUUUAAUGGCCGCGGUAUUUUGACCGUGCAAAGGUAGCAUAAUCAUUAGUCUAUUAAUUGUGGACUUGUAUGAAUGGUUGGACGAAAUAUUAACUGUCUCAUAUUUAUUAUUAGAAAUUAAAUUUUUAGUUAAAAUGCUUAAAUUUUUAUAUUAGACGAGAAGACCCUAUAGAUCUUUAUUUGUAAUUUUAUAUAAUUUUUUAGAUUAUUUAUUUUAUAUAAUUUUGUUUAUUUUGUUGGGGUGACAUAAGGAUAUAAAUAACUCCUUAUUUUUUUUUACAUUUAUUUAUGUAAUUAUGACCUUUUAUUAUUGUUAUAAGAUUAGAUACCUUAGGGAUAACAGCGUUAUUUUACUUGAGAGUUCAUAUUGACAGUAAAGAUUGCGACCUCGAUGUUGGAUUAAGAUUAUAAUUAGGUGUAGGUGCUUAAAUUAUAGGUCUGUUCGACCUUUAAAUUCUUACAUGAUCUGAGUUCA
This 524-nucleotide ribosomal RNA is filed under the name Sceptrophasma langkawicense. RNAcentral describes it as "partial large subunit ribosomal RNA". It matches the Rfam family "Bacterial large subunit ribosomal RNA", at positions 1810 to 2613 of the family's 2925-position model. The record is from RNAcentral. Lineage: Eukaryota; Metazoa; Arthropoda; Insecta; Phasmatodea; Diapheromeridae.